This is a non-coding RNA of Spinacia oleracea (spinach), 103 nucleotides long. The record is from Rfam. NCBI's taxonomy places the organism in Eukaryota, Viridiplantae, Streptophyta, Magnoliopsida, Caryophyllales, Amaranthaceae.
GUCUCUUCGGAGACAUCUGAUAAAAUUGGAACGAUACAGAGAAGAUUAGCAUGGCCCCUGGGCAAGGAUGACACGCACAAAUCGAGAAAUGGUCCAAAUUCUU